UUCUUCUCCCCCCUCGUCCGCUUUAUCCACUGGAUGGCCAAACCAUCCGUGAUGGGCUGCAGCUCUGCAGACAGCUUUGUCUGUGUUUGUGCAAGUCCAUGUGUGCGUGACUGGAGCGUUUGCACCGUACAAUAGAGCUAGACAGGGCUGAAGGCAGCUGAGGGGCUUCACCCGCCGAUGAAGACCAGAGAAUCCGGACUCCAAAGAACGGAGUAAAUUCAAGUCUCCAGAAACAGGAAUGAUCAUCAGGCUGGGACGACUGACACCAGGAUACUUCCGUCUCCUCCAGAGGCAGAUGUCCGGCGAGGUCAGGCUGCAGCCGCACGGCAGCCUCCUGGAGCCCAUCGCCAUGACGAUGGCGGCGGUGGGGACAGCGGUGUCUCUGUACAGCACCAGGCAGAUGGCGGCCAACUGCACAAAAGAGCACUGAGGACGUCCGAGCGUCUGUGUGGGUGCUGGUGUGUGACCCGGGAAUGUUGGCGAAGGUCAGAGGAGGUUUGUGACGCAGGAGGAUGAAGAGCGGGAAGCUGAAUGUUGCUCAGAGGCACCUGGAAGAUUUCUAACCCACGAUAUUAAGCAUGUUAAUGUUAAAGACUGUUUAUUUCAUCAGGGCUUUUAUUCUCAGGCAGUAAUCUUUAUGAAGCAGAUGUUUGCACAUCUGCAGCCAUUAUUUGUUGUUUAUAAAUAUCUAGAAUCGCUUCUUAGACUAAUUUAAUUUACUUUUUGUCAUGAAUAAAAAUUUGCCUCAGGGUUGUUCAUCCAGGCUUGCUGGUUCCAGUUUCCCAACUUAGAGAUUUAACUAAACUUCACACUCAAUUUGCUUAAUUCCUUUAUUUCAUGUUAAUUUUCACAAAUGUCUGCAGAUGUUUAGAUCUGAGGAGAAACAACAAUGAUUAAGAAAUAAAUGUGGU
Long non-coding RNA from Cololabis saira (Pacific saury), 911 nucleotides. RefSeq lists it as uncharacterized. Lineage: Eukaryota; Metazoa; Chordata; Actinopteri; Beloniformes; Belonidae. The transcript is spliced from 3 exons. The record is from RefSeq and is a predicted model, not a curated record.